GGUUCCAUAGUGUAGCGGUUAGCACAUCUGCUUUACACGCAGAAGGUCCUAGGUUCUCACUCCAGUGGAGCCA
Molecule: transfer RNA, 73 nt
Filed under: Pteropus alecto (black flying fox)
Lineage: Eukaryota; Metazoa; Chordata; Mammalia; Chiroptera; Pteropodidae
Rfam family: tRNA
About the family: Transfer RNA (tRNA) molecules are approximately 80 nucleotides in length. Their secondary structure includes four short double-helical elements and three loops (D, anti-codon, and T loops). Further hydrogen bonds mediate the characteristic L-shaped molecular structure. tRNAs have two regions of fundamental functional importance: the anti-codon, which is responsible for specific mRNA codon recognition, and the 3' end, to which the tRNAs corresponding amino acid is attached (by aminoacyl-tRNA synthetases). tRNAs cope with the degeneracy of the genetic code in two manners: having more than one tRNA (with a specific anti-codon) for a particular amino acid; and 'wobble' base-pairing, i.e. permitting non-standard base-pairing at the 3rd anti-codon position.
Source: Rfam by way of RNAcentral